This 480-nucleotide ribosomal RNA is filed under the name uncultured bacterium. Its description in RNAcentral is "partial 16S ribosomal RNA". It matches the Rfam family "Bacterial small subunit ribosomal RNA", at positions 28 to 523 of the family's 1533-position model. The record is from RNAcentral.
GACGAACGCUGGCGGCGGGCUUAACACAUGCAAGUCGAACGGAAUCCAUGGAGCUUGCUCCGGAAGAUUUAGUGGCGAACGGGUGAGGAACACGUGAGAAACCUGCCCCGAACUUUGGGAUAACAGUUGGAAACGACUGCUAAUACCAAAUACCUCCGCGAUGUGGCAUCACAUUGCGAAGAAAGAAUUUCGGUUCGGGAGGGUCUCGCGGCCUAUCAGCUAGUUGGUGGGGUAAUGGCCUACCAAGGCAUCGACGGGUAGCUGGUCUGAGAGGAUGAUCAGCCACACUGGGACUGAGACACGGCCCAGACUCCUACGGGAGGCAGCAGUGGGGAAUCUUGUGCAAUGGGGGCAACCCUGACACAGCCACGCCGCGUGCGGGAAGAAGGCCUUCGGGUCGUAAACCGCUUUCAGCAGGAACGAAAAUGUCGGUACCUGCAGAAGAAGGAGCGGCCAACUACGUGCCAGCCGCCGCGGUAA